This is a long non-coding RNA of Bos taurus (domestic cattle), 1094 nucleotides long. Lineage: Eukaryota; Metazoa; Chordata; Mammalia; Artiodactyla; Bovidae. The record is from Ensembl.
UACAGACCAUGCCCUGUUCCUGUACUGUUUCUUUUAUGUUUCACCGUCUUGCUGGGGAUUUGUUCCUACUGGUGAUCACAAGUAGUGAAGGUGGAAAUAAAAUUUUGGAGGGCAGCUAUUUCUAUGUUUAGCUAAACCUUUUUGAAGUUAUUUUAAAUCAAGUGUAAAAAACAAAAGCGGAUCCCCUGGUAGUUCAGUGGUUAUGAUUCUGAGCUUUCACUGCUGGGCCUGGGGUUCCAGCUUUGGUCAGGGAACUCGGAUCCCACAAGUUGCUUGUGUCGGGGUGAAAAAGAAAAAAACUACAGAAAACAUUGCAUUCAUUCCUUUAUUUGAGCAAUAUUUGAGCAAGCUACUGAACUUGUUACAAAAAUAUGGACGAAGUCAAAGUUUUGUUCCCAGAUUAUUUGAAGGUAAGGUAAGGGAGAUCUUCCAAAAAUGAGUACUUUUGAAAAGUUAAAAAAAAAGCCUUUUGUAAAGCUAAUAGCACAAAUACUUUCAAGAGGGAGCUGCUGCUGCUGCUAAGUCGCUUCAGUCGUGUCGGACUCUGUGCGACUCCAUAGAUGGCAGACCACCAGGCUCCCCAGUCCCUGGGAUUCUCCAGGCAAGAACACUGGAGUGGGUUGCCAUUGCCUUCUCCAAUGCAUGAAAGUGAAAAGUGAAAGUGAAGUCGAUCAGUGUCCGACUCUUAGCGACCUCAUGGACUGCAGCCCACCAGGUUCCUCUGUCCAUGGGAUUUUCCAGGCAAGAGUACUGGAGUGAGGUGCCAUUGCCUUCUCCGUCAAGAGGGAUCGGACAUAUGUAUACCUGUAGCUGAUUCAUGUUGAUAUGUGGCAGAAGAAAACAAAAUUCUGUAAAGCAAUUAUCCUUCAAUUGAAAAAAAAAAUACAAAUAUGUGAGUUCCGUAAAACAGUGUGACGAUACAAGACCAGACUCUAUUUAGAAAUAUAGAAAGAAAUACAGUGAAAAAAUAAAAGCUAGUUUCUGACCUUAAGGCUUCUCAGUUCAAUAUAUUUCAUCAUCUUUCUGUUAUAAAUUUCAUAAUUCUGGGAAGAAAAUUGCAAAAUAUGUUGCAAAAUAUGUCCUAAUCUUCAGAA